RNAcentral lists this ribosomal RNA (230 nucleotides) under uncultured bacterium. Its description in RNAcentral is "partial 16S ribosomal RNA". It matches the Rfam family "Bacterial small subunit ribosomal RNA", at positions 99 to 334 of the family's 1533-position model. The record is from RNAcentral.
CGGACGGGUGAGUAAUGUCUGGGAAACUGCCCGAUGGAGGGGGAUAACUACUGGAAACGGUAGCUAAUACCGCAUAACGUCGCAAGACCAAAGAGGGGGACCUUCGGGCCUCUGCCAUCGAUGUGCCCAGAUGGGAUUAGCUAGUAGGUGGGGUAACGGCUCACCUAGGCGACGAUCCCUAGCUGGUCUGAGAGGAUGACCAGCCACACUGGAACUGAGACACGGUCCAG